Molecule: non-coding RNA, 587 nt
Organism: Nicotiana tabacum (common tobacco)
Lineage: Eukaryota; Viridiplantae; Streptophyta; Magnoliopsida; Solanales; Solanaceae
Source: RefSeq, a predicted model, not a curated record
AUUAGAUACUGUAUUUAUACUAAUGUCACUGCUUGCCAUUAGACUUUUUUCUUGCAUUGUAUUUACAUCUGUGUUUCUUAGCUAUUAGAACUAUACUCUUUAUGAAAUUCAGGAUAAUCCAUGAUACUCCAUUUGGAGUAAUGCCCUUCCAUUUUCUAGACAUACAGAAGGAAAACCCUACUUUCAGCGAUUACCCUAUGCUCUAAGCCUUGUAGAAGAUGCUUAUUUGAUUUAGUUGUUGCUGUUGAGAAGAUGAACUCAUUCCUCCGCACGAAAAAGACUAGGCCAUACUCCUUCCAACAAGAUGAAAUUGCGGUAUUAGAUUUAGGGCAUAAAGCUAGAUCUUAUCUGCUGCUGCUCAUAAAUAUGAGUCGAGUAAUAGUAGAGACAAGUGGUGGCUUGAUUUGUUAUAGAAUCUUAUACUAGUGUGCAUUGACUGCAGAGAUGAAACUCAUUGAUGUUAACAAGUUAGGAAUAUUCAGCUGAAGUGUGUGUUUUUAAUGAUAUGAUCUUCUUGAUCAAAAAAAAAAGGGCAUAACAAUAUUUAAUGCCCAUUUAGUAUGGUAUUAAAGGCUCAUUUAUUUGCA